GGUCAUGCUGCGGCAGCCUCACU
Molecule: microRNA, 23 nt
Filed under: Oryza sativa (Asian cultivated rice)
Lineage: Eukaryota; Viridiplantae; Streptophyta; Magnoliopsida; Poales; Poaceae
Also listed under: 2 other names
Description: osa-miR167c-3p
Gene: osa-miR167c-3p
Source: miRBase by way of RNAcentral